RNAcentral lists this ribosomal RNA (457 nucleotides) under uncultured Pseudomonas sp. RNAcentral describes it as "bacterial SSU rRNA". It matches the Rfam family "Bacterial small subunit ribosomal RNA", at positions 924 to 1382 of the family's 1533-position model. The record is from RNAcentral. Lineage: Bacteria; Pseudomonadati; Pseudomonadota; Gammaproteobacteria; Pseudomonadales; Pseudomonadaceae.
GACAAGCGGUGGAGCAUGUGGUUAAUUCGAAGCAACGCGAAGAACCUUACCAGGCCUUGACAUGCAGAGAACUUCCAGAGAUGGAUUGGUGCCUUCGGGAACUCUGACACAGGUGCUGCAUGGCUGUCGUCAGCUCGUGUCGUGAGAUGUUGGGUUAAGUCCCGUAACGAGCGCAACCCUUGUCCUUAGUUACCAGCACGUUAUGGUGGGCACUCUAAGGAGACUGCCGGUGACAAACCGGAGGAAGGCGGGGAUGACGUCAAGUCAUCAUGGCCCUUACGGCCUGGGCUACACACGUGCUACAAUGGUCGGUACAAAGGGUUGCCAAGCCGCGAGGUGGAGCUAAUCCCAUAAAACCGAUCGUAGUCCGGAUCGCAGUCUGCAACUCGACUGCGUGAAGUCGGAAUCGCUAGUAAUCGUGAAUCAGAAUGUCACGGUGAAUACGUUCCCGGGCCUU